CGAUAUAAUGGCGAACUGAACCUUCAACAAUUCACAAUCUGGUUGUGAAUGUAAGGGAGCCUAACGUUACUCCCAACACCUCAACGCACGACUCGAACUCGCAGCAAAAUCCUAAGUGUGGGUCGGUUAGCGGUCGGCCAAAGGGAACGUGGCGGCUGGGCUUCACAGAUGGAGACCGUCGCGAACAGACCGCGAAUCUGAACGGUUACAGCAAAUCUGAACGGUUACAGCAACUAGUCGGCCGACGUCGAUAGCAGGUGGAGCGGCGGUUGUGAGCGGGGAGCGUGGUCGACGGAGACAGAAUCGGCGAUGGAGACGGCAGAUUGGCGCGCGGGACGACUGCUGCAAGGUUGCUUCGCGAACCGGAGAUGGCGGCCGACGGUUGCAGACGGAGAGGCUGCAGCGGCAGCUGGGUAUAGUAGAAAAGAAAGAGAAACGGAAGAAGAGAAAUUUGGGGUGGCCGGCCGUAGAAAACGAAAAGAAAAGAGGAAGAAAAAAGAAGAAAGAAAAGAGAAAGGAAAAGAGAAGGAAGAAAAGAGAUGGUUGUGGUUGUAGGUUGAACAGGAAGAGAAAGGAAGAAGAUGAAUAGGAAAAGAGAAAAAUAAAAUAAAAUAUUAUAAGUAUAUUUUUUUCUUUCUUUUAUUAUUAUUCUUUUUUCUUUUUUUUCUUAAAAUAGAAUUAUUAAUAAUAAUAAUAUAAUUAUAAUAUAUUAUUAUUACUUUUCUGUUUCCUUUACUUUUCCUCUUCCCAAAACAAACAUUCUCUCUCUUCAUUAAAUACUAUCAAUUCCAACUUUUUAUCCCUUCUUUAAAAUAACAAAAUUUUAGAUUAUUCAAACUAAUUAUAUUAUUUCCAAUAAUAUAAUUUUCUCAUCCUUCCAUAACAUCAAACACAUAUAUCUAUACUCAAAAUCCUAAAAUAAAUUACCAAGAUCAUUCUCUUUUAUUCAUCCAUAACAAUAUAAAAAAAAUCAAUUUUCAUAAUUAAUUAGAUAUUCUUUCAUAAAUAUUCAAUUAAUUAUAAUCUUCACAAAACAAACAAAUCUCUUAAUUUAUCUAAAAUAACACCCAAAUAAUUCCAACUUAAAUUCAAUUCCAUUAAGAUAAAUUAAAUUUAAAAUUACCUUAAAUUUUGGGAUGUUACAAUCUUCCCUCCUUUUAGAAACUUUCAUCCUCGAAAGUACUAAUCCUCAAUAACUCUAUAAUAUCCCUGGGUAAUGAGCUCUCAUAUCAUCUUCUCGUUCUCAUGUCGCUUCUUUAACUCGAUGAUUCUGCCACAAUACUUUUACUAAUGAAAUUCCUCUAUUACGAAGCAUCAUCACUUCUCUAACCAGAAUCUCAACUGGUUGCACCACAUAGCUCAAAUUCUCGUCAAUCUCUAGUGGUUCAUAGUCCACUACAUGAGAUGGAUCUGCCACAUACUUUCUCAACAUCGAAACAUGGAAAACAUUAUGAAUUGCAGAGAGAAAUGGAGAGAGAAAUGGUGGUAAUGCUAAACGAUAUGCCACAACACCAAUUCUCUUUAAAAUCUCAAACGGUCCAACAAAACGAGGAUUUAACUUCCCUUUCUUCUCAAAAUGCAUAACAUCCUUCAUAGUUGCUACCUGCAAGAACACCUUAUCUCCCACAUCAAACUCAAGGUUCUUUCACCUCAGAUCUGCAUAACUUUUUUUUUUUUCUACUUUGCGUUGUUUGCGUACGUACUCUAAUAUUCUGAAUAAACUCAUUAGUAGACUAAACCAACUCAUAACCCAUCAAUCUCUGUUCACCAACCUCAUUCCAACAAACAGAAGUUCUACAACAUUUACCAUACAAAGCUUCAAACGGUGUCAUGCCAAUGGUAACCUGAAAACUGUUAUUAUAAGCAAACUCCAUCAAAUGUAAGUGAGAGUCCCAACUACCUGGAAACUCUAGAACACAAGCUCGUAGCAUAUCCUCUAAAACUUGGUUCAAACGUUCAGUUUGGCCAUCAGUCUGUGGGUGAAAGGUUGUACUAGAAAUCUAACCUCGUUCCCAUGGCAGUCUAAAGUCCCUUCCAAAACUUGGAAGUAAAAAGUGCAUCUCGUUAGAGACAAUAAUACGGGCACUCCAUGUAGUCUCACAAUCUCAAUCAAAUAUAAUUAUGCUCAUUUACUAGUAGUAUAAGUGGAUUUUUUUUUUUUUAAAUGAAAUGUGUCGAUUUCGUAAGCCUAUCGACAAUAACCCAAAUCACUGUGUAACCCUUCAGGGUUUUAGGCAAUUAUAUAAUAAAAUCCAUAGAUACAUUCUCCCACUUCCACUCUAAUAUACUCAAAGGUUGCAACAAACCUGUUGGUUUCUAUCUUGGUGCUUUAACCUGCUAGCACACCAAGCACUUACUAACAAGAUCUUCCAUUUCUCUCUUCAUAUUACGCUAGUAACAAACUCUUUUCAGAUCCGGAUACAUUUUUGUGCUACUUGGAUGCAUGAGAAAUGGGAAACUAUGAGUCUCAACCAAUAACCUUGUCUUAAUUGCAUUUUCUGUUGGCUCACAUAAUUCUCUCUCAAACAUAAGUUCAUCAUCAAAGGAUAUGGAAAACUCCUUAACUUGCCCUACUUCUACUAGGCAAUGCUUCUCAAUCAAAUAAGGAUCAAUGAAUUGAACCACAAGAAUUCUUUGUCUCAAGAUCGGAUGUACUGACAACUGAGCUAACUGUGAGGUGACUUCCCCCACUAAAACUACAAUCUCAGCUCUCUCGUGGUUUUUGUCUAAUGAAACCUGUCUGGUAAUAAGUGCUGUCAAAAUGUGAUACUUUUCUACAAAGAGCACCAACUUCCACAUUCGCCUUACCUAAAUGGUACAAAAUCUCACAAUCAUAGUCAUUUACUAACUGAAACCAUCUUUGCUAUCUCAUACUCAACUUCUUUUGAGUGAAAAAGUAUUUUAUACUCUUUUGGUUAGAAAAUAUCUAUAUCUUUUCAUCAUGAAUAUAUAGUGCCUUCAAAUCAUUAAUGUAAAAACCACAACUGUCAAUUUCAUAUCAUAAGUUGGACAAUUUUCCUCAUGACUCUUCAACUGACGAGGAGUACAAGCAACUACUUUAACUUGUUGAAUCAUAAUACCUUUUAAACUUUCCUAAAAGCAUCACUAUAAAUUACGAAACUUUCUGAACCAUCAUGUACGGUAAGCACGGGAGUUGUACAAGCUUCUGCUUAAGAUCCUGAACACUAUCCUCAUAGGCUUUGUCCCAAACAAACAGAGUCCCUUUUCUUAGUUAACUGAGUCAAAUGAGUAGCUAUACGAGAAAAUUCUUAUACAAACCGUUAGUAAUAACCUGCUGAACCCAAAAAGACUACGAACCUCACUGACUAUGAAAGGUUGAGGCCAACUGGUAACGACUUCAAUCUUUUAUGAGAUCCACAUAAAUGUCAUCUCUAGAUACCACAUGGCUUGGAAAGAUACUUGGCCUCAUCCAAAACUCACAUUUUGAAAACUUUGCAUACAAUUUGUUGACUCGAAGAGCCUCUAAAACCAUGUUAAAUGCUCCUCAUGCGCUGUCUCUAUUUUGGAAUAAAUUAAGAUAUCGUCAAUAGAUACAAUCACGAAAGUGUCUAAGAGAUCGUUAAACACUUUGUUCAUCAAGUCGUAAACAUUGUUUGAGCAUUUGCCAACUCAAAAGACAUCAUAAUGAACUCAUGAUGUCCAUAUCACGAACGAAAAUCUGCCAUAGGAAUGUCACUGUUCUCUAAUCCUCAACAAGUCAUAACUUUAAUGUAAUUCAAUCUUAAAGAACACGGAAUUAUUGCAGUUGAUCAAACAAAUCCUCAUUCAUUGGUAAAAGAUAUUUAUUCUUAACCGACACCUUAUUCAACUUUCUACAAUCAAAACAUAAGUGCAUCGACCCAUCUUUCUUCUUAAUAAACAAAAAUUGGUGCAUCCCAAGAUAACAUACUUCGUCGAAUGUAGUCCUUGUCAAACAUUUCUUUCAAUUGCACCUUCAAAUCUUUCAACUCUGUUGGGGCCAUUUUGUAUGAAGCUUUAGAUAUAGGAACGAGUCUAACUCUAUCUCAAUAGCAAGACCAAUUUCUGUUUAGCGCGGUAAUCUUAGAAACUCUUCUAGAAAAAUAUCAUAAUACUUUUUCACCACUGAUUCAAAUAACAAAGAAACAUCGACUUCUCUGGUGUCUACCACACUAGUCAAAUACAACAAGUACCCUGGUCAAGCAACUUACUAACCUUCAUAGUUGGGAUAACUUUUAGCGAAACGAUAGUUCCAACCUCUUUGUACUUGAAACUAGCCUCUGGAGAAGGAUUAGAAACUACAUUUUUGCUGAACAUUUUAUGUUCACAUGGUUAAACUACAUUCCAAUUUUCAAACUCCAAACUAGUAACUUUUCAUUCACGAGAAACUCAAAAUUGUUUCUUAAAGUCACAUCAAGACAACCAUGCUCAUCUUCCUUGUUUCUUUUCCAAUACCUCCAUUCUAAAACCAUUUAAUGUGUUUCGUAUAAACUUGACCGUGUAUUUAGUCCUCGUUAAAACCACCUACAUAACUUAUUUUUCUUAGAUUUCCAAUCACAAAACAGACAAUUUCGCUAACAACGUCUUACUUUUCUACUACUCGACCACUCCUUUGAACACCUCUACAUGACAACAUUUUUCCUAAAUUUCACCAUUAAAUCUGUCACCAUUAAAUCAUAACAUUCAUGUAAUUCUAGUUUAACUUAGGCAAGGUCAUAUACAUAAACCAUACAUAUAAGCAUAAAGCAUACCUGACGAGAGACGAAGGGUCGCGUUAGCCAUAGGGACACAAAAACAUAGACUUACAUCGUAAGUCAGUCUACAGAACCUAAAACUUAGGCUCUGAUACCAACUGUAACGACCCAACUUUUCUAAGUAAGUCGAGAUCGUUAAUUUUUAACAAAUAAAGACUUUAAUUAAUAUAAAACAAAACGUAAACAAUUAAAAAAAAAACAUCUUCAAGUCAGGCCUGAUUUUUAAACAUUCAAGAAAACAUAAAAUAGUACUAUUUACAACAAACGUUUGUAAACUAAAUUUCAAUUCAUUUUAAACCUCACAAGAACCCAUAAGCGGAAGCAAAAACACGUUUUCUAUGGCAUCACGCUUCCUUCCUGCCCCUCGCCUGUUUGCCGCCUUUAUUACCUUUGCCUGAAAAUUAAACAUAAGAAGGGUGAGUAUUUUAAAUACUCAGUAAGAGACCCUCUACUGGUCCCGUCAGGAGAAAAUAAAUUAUUAACGAUCUAUUGGGACACCCUGUACAGUCACAGUCUUGUGAUCCCGUAGGAUACACAUCUCAGUCUAACGCCCCGAGGGACGUACAUAUCAGUCUAGUGUUCUGCAGAAACACAUAUCAGUCUAAUGCUCCCGAAGGUGCAAAAUAAAUUGGUGAUCCCGUGGGACACCUACAAGGUACACAUCCCAAUAAAUCUAACAAUUUUCCCCUCAUUCCAUUCAAUCCAUCCUUCAGUUGCUUCAAAACAUAAAAUUUUUUCUCUCAACGUCCUAACAGUCAACUUACUUUACUUUAGUCAUCUGUCCGUCAAUAAUAUACUAAUACGUCAGUCAAUCAACUAUACAGUCAAUACACCCCUCAGUUCACCAGCACACAAUCAUACUUUAGCGUAAUCGUACACCCAAUCUAAACGAGAAUCACAAGUUCAUAUCUACAUCUCAUACCAACACAAUCUACAAUCUUCGUCAUGUCCACAUACACACACUUAUAUAUAUUUUCCAUGACAUUCACGAUAUACAUUCGACGUUAUGUCUACUUCAAUUCACAUGCAUUCAUAUAUAUUUUCAGUCAAACCACAGUAUACAUUCAACACACAUACAAUUCACAAUCACAAUUGAGCCCAGUAGAAAAUCCCUUACCUGAAAGUUAGGGAAGCUCCUUAAUCAACUAACGUCCUCGAAACAAUCCUAAGCAUAACAACACAAAAUUCAAUUACUUUCACAAUACAUAUCCCACUUAUUUUCCUCAACGUAAGUUUCAACUCACCGAUAUAAUGGCGAACUGAACCUUCAACAAUUCACAAUCUGGUUGUGAAUGUAAGGGAGCCUAACGUUACUCCCAACACCUCAACGCACGACUCGAACUCGCAGCAAAAUCCUAAGUGUGGGUCGGUUAGCGGUCGGCCAAAGGGAACGUGGCGGCUGGGCUUCACAGAUGGAGACCGUCACGAACAGACCGCGAAUCUGAACGGUUACAGCAACUAGUCGGCCGACGUCGAUAGCAGGUGGAGCGGCGGUUGUGAGCGGGGAGCGUGGUCGACGGAGACAGAAUCGGCGAUGGAGACGGCAGAUUGGCGCGCGGGACGACUGCUGCAAGGUUGCUUCGCGAACCGGAGAUGGCGGCCGACGGUUGCAGACGGAGAGGCUGCAGCGGCAGCUGGGUAUGGUAGAAAAGAAAGAGAAACGGAAGAAGAGAAAUUUGGGGUGGCCGGCCGUAGAAAACAAAAAGAAAAGAGGAAGAAAAAAGAAGAAAGAAAAGAGAAAGGAAAAGAGAAGGAAGAAAAGAGAUGGUUGUGGUCGUAGGUUGAACACGAAGAGAAAGGAAGAAGAUGAAU
RNAcentral lists this long non-coding RNA (6545 nucleotides) under Cucumis sativus (cucumber). RNAcentral describes it as "long non-coding RNA (CSAT_LNC000236)". Lineage: Eukaryota; Viridiplantae; Streptophyta; Magnoliopsida; Cucurbitales; Cucurbitaceae. The record is from RNAcentral.